UUUAUUGAGGAUUUGAUCCUGGUCCAGGAUGAACGCUGGCGGCGUGGAUAAGGCAUGCAAGUCGUGCGGUCGUUCGUGCCUCACUGUGUUUAGUACGAACUCCCUAAAUUCAAAAAUCAAAAAUAAAAAUGCAAAAUUUAGGUAUGUGCUUCGCGCAUAAGUUUAUAAAAAUUGUUGCGUAGCGACACAAUAAUUUUGACUUUUGCAUUUUGCAUUUUGAAUUUAAGCGAGCGUCGAACAUAGCGAGGUGCGAGCGAUAGCGGCGAACGGGUUAGUAAUACCUUGGUACAUACCGUAGAGUUGGGGAUAGCCCAUCGAAAGGUGGGGUAAUACCGAAUAGUCUCCGACCGCGAAAGCGCGUCGGAGUAAAGCCGCAAGGCACUCUACGAUUGGCCUAGGUCCUAUCAGGUAGUUGGCGGGGUAAGAGCCCACCAAGCCGAUGACGGGUAGGGGAGCUGAGAGGCUGUUCCCCAACAGGGACACUGAGACACGGGUCCCACUCCUACGGGAGGCAGCAGUCGAGAAUAUUCGGCAAUGGGCGAAAGCCUGACCGAGCGACGCCGCGUGCAGGAAGAAGGUCUUCGGAUUGUAAACUGCUUUUAUUAGGGAUGAAGUCGCCUUUGGCGACUGACAGUACCUAGCGAAUAAGGGGUUGCUAACUACGUGCCAGCAGCCGCGGUAAUACGUAGGCCCCAAGCGUUAUCCGGAUUUAUUGGGCGUAAAGGGUGUGUAGGAUGUUUGGAGCAUCUUCUGUUAAAUCUCAGGGCCCAACCUUGGAAUUGCAGAAGAGAUGGCCAAACUAGAGAAUGCUAUAGGUUGAUGGAACAGCCGGUGUAGGGGUGAAAUCCGUUGAUAUCGGCUGGAACACCAGAGGUGAAAACGAUCAACUGGGGCAUAUCUGACUCUGAAACACGAAAGCGUGGGGAGCAAAAAGGAUUAGAUACCCUUGUAGUCCACGCCCUAAACGAUGCCUGCUAGCUAUUUUGAGUAUCGACCCUCGGAGUGGCGAAGCUAACGCGUUAAGCAGGCCGCCUGGGAAGUACGAGCGCAAGCUUAAAACUCAAAGGAAUAGACGGGGACUCGCACAAGCGGUGGAUCAUGAGGUUUAAUUCGACGGUAAACGAGGAACCUUACCAGGGCUAGAAAUCCUGACGACGACGUUUCGAAAGAGAUGUCUUCUCUCAAGGACGUCAGGACAGGUGCUGCAUGGUUGUCGUCAGCUCGUGGCUUGAGUUGUUCCCUUAAGUGGGGUAACGAGCGCAACCUCUGUCGUGUGUUACAAGUGUCACACGAGACCGCCCCCUCCAAGCGCAUUUACUUCGUAAAUGCUCAAAUUCAAAACUCAAAAUGCAAAGUUCAAAAUGAUUGAAGUUAAAAAUUUUAUAAAAGAAAAUUUUUAACAACCUGACUUUUGAUAUUUGAUAUUUGAUUUUCGAGUUUAGCACUGAGCGCAGCGAAGUGCGUUUAGAGGGGGAGGAAGAUGGAGAUGACGUCAAAUCAGCAUGGCCCUCUGAUGUCCUGGGCUACACUCAUGAUACAAUGGCUAAUACAAAGGGUUUGCCAAGCCGAAAGGCGGAGCUAAUCUCAAAAAAAUGGCCUUAGUUCGGAUUGGGGUCUGAAACUCGACCCCAUGAAGUCGGAAUCGCUAGUAAUCGCGGAUCAGCUAUGCCGCGGUGAAUACGUUCUCGAGUCCUGUACUCACCGCCCGUCACGUCAAGGGAGCCGGGAAGACCUAAAGCCGAGCACUCAGUUCAUAUUUCUGCAUCGUCGAUGUGUUUGAAGAAACGCAUUGGACGAUAAGCAUUGCUGAAAUAUAAAUGUGGCCUGAGUGCUCGGUUAGGGUCAGUUCGGUAACAGGGACGAAGUCGUAACAAGGCACCGGUAGCGGAAGCUGUCGGUGGAUC
RNAcentral lists this ribosomal RNA (1904 nucleotides) under bacterium. RNAcentral's name for it is "bacterial SSU rRNA". It matches the Rfam family "Bacterial small subunit ribosomal RNA". The record is from RNAcentral.